UUUGUCAAAUCAUCAAAACUAUAAGAAGUCAUAACUCAUCAAGUGGUGCAAAUCAUAAGAGGUUAUUCAUCAAGGCUGAUGAUAAUCUCAGAUCAAUCUCUUUGGAGAAACCUCCUAACCUGUCUGAAGUUUAUGUUUCUCUGGAGAAAUCUCCGAUUUGGUUAUGUUUGUUGGCAGCUUUCCUGAAGUCAAAAUACUCGGUCUUAUUGGCAAAUUUCUGCAGCUCCUAUGUGAAACUCCAGUUACACCAAUGCUAUAGACAUCACCAGACUCUCUAAAGAUUCUCAAACUCAAAGGUGUGAACUUUAUGGACUUCAAACAAUUAUCUGUUAUAGUCUACUUGAUUAGAAGUGCUCAGAAUUUGCAAGAACUUCAUAUUGAGGCUUCUACAGUCAAGAUAAACCGGGAACAUAUCUCAGGUUUUCUAAAACUCCUGAACUGCAAAAAGUUUCCCCUUAUCAAACUUCAUCUCGUAAAAUUAACGAAAAUCUUAGGUUUCGAUGCCCAGUUUGAAUUUAUUGUCAUCACUUGUGACAAUGAGCAUCCUGGAACACCCAGAGCUUGAAGCAGAAGUAGUAUUGGAUAUAGGUAGGAAGUUGCUCGAGUUUCAGCCACCAUCAACAGUGUCUAUAGAUUUCUCAAGGGACAGUGAAGCCCAAGUAUCAUAGUGUUAGAUUCAGGGAACAGGCAGUGUCCUUAUAGAGUUAUAACUCUUAAGUAUUCUUACUACAUGACUUGUACUGGUUUUGGUUAUUGUUCCGAUUCUUCUGGUUUGCUAAAACUUAAGAUUUCAAGCGAAAUUGGAUUAGUUCUUUAUUUAUAUGCUUAAUUAUGUUGAGAAGAAAAGAAUU
Molecule: long non-coding RNA, 851 nt
Organism: Lycium ferocissimum
Lineage: Eukaryota; Viridiplantae; Streptophyta; Magnoliopsida; Solanales; Solanaceae
Exons: 3
Source: RefSeq, a predicted model, not a curated record